CCCAGAGUACCAAGCUCAAGCAUCUUUCCAAAGUGUGGCAGAAAGCCGAUGCAUAGAUGGGUAUCGGUUGCCCUUUGGAUUGUCAUGAGAGCCUUGUAGCUCUCAAAGUGAUCAAUUGGGUCAGUGGUACCAUCAUAUGGUUCCACGUGCAGCAUUUUGAACCAAGUCGGGAUCGGUUCAUCCAAGACAUAUCGAGAGAGAGGUUGGGCAGU
This 212-nucleotide long non-coding RNA is filed under the name Elaeis guineensis (African oil palm). Its description in RNAcentral is "long non-coding RNA (EGUI_LNC022725)". The record is from RNAcentral. Lineage: Eukaryota; Viridiplantae; Streptophyta; Magnoliopsida; Arecales; Arecaceae.